GCUGGAUGUGGUGACGCACAUCUGUAGUCCCAGCUACUUGGGAGGCUGAGCCAGGAGAAUCUCUUGAGCCCACGAGAUCAAGGCUGCAAUGAGCUAUGAUCAGGCCACUGCACUCCAGCCUGGGCAACAAAGUGAGACCCUGUCUCAU
This is an unclassified non-coding RNA of Macaca fascicularis (crab-eating macaque), 148 nucleotides long. It matches the Rfam family "Metazoan signal recognition particle RNA". From Rfam's summary of the family: The signal recognition particle (SRP) is a universally conserved ribonucleoprotein. It is involved in the co-translational targeting of proteins to membranes. Lineage: Eukaryota; Metazoa; Chordata; Mammalia; Primates; Cercopithecidae. The record is from Ensembl.